GAUUUCCACAUAUUUCGUUCUAAUAGUAGAGUAUACAUAAUGACAUAAUUUUCAUAUUUGAGCCAAACUUGCCAUCAUUACAAUUGCAUUACAUAAUUCUUUCACUCAUAUUUGAAAAACAACCAACUUCUUUUGACUAGUGGUAACUUACUUUGUAUAAUUCUUGGUUGUCGGCCAAACAAGAAACGACGCUCUCCAGAUUAAUCAUUUUGCAAGAGCAAGGCCUGCAACUCUGGCUGCACUAGAGUCAGAGUGGUCUGUUUGGUAACUCUCAUUGUACUACUGGUGGCUCAGGGGGUCCUCGGGCUAUUGGCAUACUGCCACCAUCAGUUUUAGGCUUAGCAUAGUCCACAAAGACAACUCGUCCAUUAAGAGGCUUGCCAUUCAUUUCUUGCAAGGCCUUCUCCGCUUCAUCUUCAGAUGCAUAGGUGACGAAUCCAAAACCCUUGGAUCUGUCUGAGACUCUAUCCGUCACAAUUUUAGCUUCAAUAACUUGACCAUGUUGAGAAAAUGCCUCUGACAGUGCCUUCUCUGUGGUGUAAAAUGAGAGGCCUCCAACAAAUAGCUUAGAAGCUAUGCCUCUUCGAGAAAGGAAAAUUGUAGAGUUUGAUAUUACAACACUUGUAUUUUUGGGUAAUAAUAAUUUUCUCAAGGCAGCCAUUGUUGUGCUGUGUAGAGAGAGAG
RNAcentral lists this unclassified non-coding RNA (684 nucleotides) under Hevea brasiliensis (rubber tree). The record is from RNAcentral. Lineage: Eukaryota; Viridiplantae; Streptophyta; Magnoliopsida; Malpighiales; Euphorbiaceae.